RNAcentral lists this ribosomal RNA (1383 nucleotides) under uncultured bacterium. RNAcentral's name for it is "bacterial SSU rRNA". It matches the Rfam family "Bacterial small subunit ribosomal RNA". The record is from RNAcentral.
AGAGUUUGAUCCUGGCUCAGGAUGAACGCUGGCGGCGUGCCUAACACAUGCAAGUCGAACGGACUUAUAACGAAACCUAGUGAAUUAUAAGUUAGUGGCGGACGGGUGAGUAACGCGUGGAAAACCUGCCGUAUACUGGGGGAUAACACUUAGAAAUAGGUGCUAAUACCGCAUAAGCGCACAGCUUCGCAUGAAGCAGUGCGAAAAACUCCGGUGGUAUACGAUGGUUCCGCGUCUGAUUAGCUAGUUGGUGAGGUAAAAGCCCACCAAGGCGACGAUCAGUAGCCGGCCUGAGAGGGUGAACGGCCACAUUGGGACUGAGACACGGCCCAGACUCCUACGGGAGGCAGCAGUGGGGGAUAUUGCACAAUGGGGGAAACCCUGAUGCAGCGACGCCGCGUGAGUGAAGAAGUAUUUCGGUACGUAAAGCUCUAUCAGCAGGGAAGAAUAAUGACGGUACCUGACUAAGAAGCCCCGGCUAACUACGUGCCAGCAGCCGCGGUAAUACGUAGGGGGCAAGCGUUAUCCGGAUUUACUGGGUGUAAAGGGAGCGUAGACGGCUGUGCAAGUCUGAAGUGAAAUGCCGGGGCUCAACCCCGGAACUGCUUUGGAAACUGUACAGCUAGAGUGCAGGAGGGGUGAGCGGAAUUCCUAGUGUAGCGGUGAAAUGCGUAGAUAUUAGGAGGAACACCAGUGGCGAAGGCGGCUCACUGGACUGUAACUGACGUUGAGGCUCGAAAGCGUGGGGAGCAAACAGGAUUAGAUACCCUGGUAGUCCACGCCGUAAACAAUAAUUACUAGGUGUCGGGGGGCAAGGGCCUUUCGGUGCCGGGGGCAAACGCCAUUAAGUAAUCCACCUGGGGAGACGCUUCGCAAGAAUGAAACUCAAAAGGAAUUGACGGGGGCCCGCACAAGCGGUGGAGCAUGUGGUUUAUUUCGAAGCUACGGGAAGAACCUUACCAGGUCUUGACAUCUUGCGCUAACCUUAGAGAUAAGGCGUUCCCUUCGGGGACGCAAUGACAGGUGGUGCAUGGUCGUCGUCAGCUCGUGUCGUGAGAUGUUGGGUUAAGUCCCGCAACGAGCGCAACCCUUGUUACUAGUUGCCAGCAUUAAGUUGGGCACUCUAGUGAGACUGCCGGUGACAAACCGGAGGAAGGUGGCGCCCACGUCAGAUCAUUAUGCCCCUUAUGACCUGGGCUACACACGUGCUACAAUGGACGGUACAACGAGUCGCAAGCUCGCGAGAGUAAGCUAAUCUCUUAAAGCCGUUCUCAGUUCGGACUGUAGGCUGCAACUCGCCUACACGAAGUCGGAAUCGCUAGUAAUCGCGGAUCAGCAUGCCGCGGUGAAUACGAACCCGGGCCUUGCACACACCGCCCGUCA